Long non-coding RNA from Sapajus apella (tufted capuchin), 221 nucleotides. RefSeq lists it as uncharacterized. Lineage: Eukaryota; Metazoa; Chordata; Mammalia; Primates; Cebidae. The transcript has 3 exons. The record is from RefSeq and is a predicted model, not a curated record.
CUAAAUGGUAUUGCCGAGAUUUUCUUCUAGAGUUCUUAUAGUUUUGGGUCUUACAUUUAAGUCUUUCAUCCAUCUUGAGUUAAUUUUGUAUAAGGUGUAAGGAAGGGAUUCAGUUUCGAUUUUCUGCAUUGGCUAGCCAGUUCUCACAGAACCAUUUAUUAAAUAGGGAAUCUUUUCCCCAUUGCUUGUUUUUGUCAGGUUUGUCUAAAAAUCAGCUGUUU